Long non-coding RNA from Zea mays, 3111 nucleotides. RefSeq lists it as uncharacterized. The record is from RefSeq and is a predicted model, not a curated record. Lineage: Eukaryota; Viridiplantae; Streptophyta; Magnoliopsida; Poales; Poaceae. The transcript has 4 exons.
GUCUGCCACCGAACACUCUCCCACAUUGUCUUGCCUCCUCUCCUUCUGGUCCCUUUCUCCCUCCCACGCCACCGCCUUCCGCUUCCCCCUCGCGGUUUGCGGUCGCCGAUGGCGUCCCCUGCCCUGAGCCUUCCAUAGGUUAGCUCCGCAAUGGGCCAUCGUGAUGUUCAAGAAAGCUCCCGGCUCUAAAACCUCACAUCUUUCUACCCCCAUCCUCUUGCCCCAAUCUAAGAAGCAAAAAUCCUGAGGGGAAAAUCUGGUCCGAAAAUUCCAUGGAUUCGAGCGAUGGGGUGGGCGACAUGGUUCCUAGCGACGAUGUGCUUCUUUGCUGCGGGCAUCCUAUUCGUCCCUUAUGCUCUCGAUUCCCCCCUCCGGCAUAGGCUCUGUCACCUCCGCCAAGCUGGCUCAUGUCCUUUCCUUUGCCACCUUCUAGAACACCGCCCUCUGGCCCACCUUCAUUAGCGCCAUCAUAAUGUUCAGGAACCUAUCGAGGCACAUGUUCGGCAACUUGCAGAGCAACUGUUCCUAGCCUACUUCACGCUUGCAGGAGAUUUGGCAAAACAUUAUGGAUAUGAGUGCUAACCUUGGCAAAUUUGCAGCAUCUUUGAAGAAAAAGAUGGUUGGGUUAUGAAUAUAGUCCCUUUUACAGAAUAAGGAAGCUAAAAAUUAUAUAUGAUCGUGGUUUAAUGGGGACUGUCCAUGAUUGAUGUUGGGCAUAUAAAUGUGAAGAACAACAAAUUUUUGGACGCCUCCUCGCACUUGGCGGGCUAAAUCGUGAAAGAGCUAAAUCGUGAUUUUAGUGUGAAAAAGAACAAAUGGUUAGCUCUUUACACUAAAAUCGUGAUUUACACCUAAAUCACGAAGCGCACUUGGUGGGACGUGAACAACAAAUGGUUCUCUUGAAAGAGCUAAAUCGUGAUUUUAGUGUGAAGCCUCUUGUCUUGCAUGUGCUAGCCAAUGUGUUACAAUGGUUGAUGGUGUGAACCAUGAUCCAUCAGAAUGUUCUAUGGAUUCACCUUGCUGGCGAGGGACAGCUUCUCGCCUUUCUCCAUAUUUGAUGGUCUUCCAACAUUUGUUGCACAAAUAGUGAAACCGAAAUUAGAUGCUUUUGAUGCAAGAAAGGAACAAAGCUCCAGCACUGAUUAUGGCGCUACAACUAAACUUCAAAAUUUGGUCUGCUGAAAGAGUACACAAAACCAUUCCCAAUCCCAUGUUAAAUAGGGUCUAUCCAAAGAACCUGAAGAUAUUGGUGAAAAUAUCACACAAUAUUCCUAUGAAAAAAGCAGGUUGUAGAACAUGGUGAAGUGAAUUCCAAUGCAGACAAACACUGUUUAGAAGUGAUAGAUGAUCGCACAAAGCGAUCUGGCCUAAAAUCUGAUGUUCCUGAUUUUUUUCCUUAGCUGUUAUGAAAUCAAAUACCAGUGAUGGAUCGUGUUCUUCAUCUGGACCGAACAUAUCAAGAAUUCUGAAGGCGGUCGGAGGUACUAUGUAAUAAUUAUUCUGAUGAAAUUGAGCUAGAGGAGCAUGACUACAACCUCCUCCAAUCAGUAAUUGAGAAUCUUCAGACUUGGAUUCAAGCAAGGUGCACCAUUUUUGCAUUUCUAAACUUAUAUUAACACAACUACAAAAACAUGAUUAUGGGUCUGACGUCCCCUUAACAUGAUAUUUAGGAAAAUGGGCCCACCGAAACCUGUCGGGGCCGGGCAUCACCCAAUGGGAUGCCACAUAAACUGUCACAGGGAGGUGGGCACGAGGCAUUCAGUUAGGUCGCGUUGUGGACUAAUUGGUAGUUUGAAACAGAGGAGAUUGCCCUUUAAUGUAGUGAUCUGUUAUGGAUUUAUGGAGUUUAUUAGGCUACUUGCCCUUUAAUGGACAUAUGGUCAACCUAUAUUUUAUCUUCAUGCUGCUUGCAUUGUUAUUGUUGCUCCCUUCCAUUACUUUGUGACUAACUUCAUUUGGUAUUCAAAUCUUAUAGGUUCUCCUAGCUCAUAUCUGCAACACGAAAUGGUUGUAUGGCAAAACUCUAGAAUGUAGAAAACAUUGUAAAUUACAGCUAUCUUGUUCCUUCCCUGUCCAGUGAGAAAUGCAGCUUCUGCCAGUGCUGCUACGAGUGUUCCUUUGCCUAAAUAGUAAGGUAUCUCUAUGCAUCAGUUUUGGCAUAAAUAGAUGCAGAUAUACAUAGAGCAUCCAAAAAACCUUUGGUGCUCUACAUGUUGUGUUGUUGAACAUACUAGCUUUUGAAAACAUAUUACUCGAAUAUGUGUAGGCCUGCAACAAAAGAUUAUGUUUUUGUCAACCUUAAUGAAAACAUUGCUCAAACAAGCAAGGAACAUAGCAUUGAGACAUUACAUGAAUAUUAUGUUGUUGCUUAAUUUGCAAUUCUAGAGCUGAUCAAGUGAGAAUUUAGAGAGGUCAUCAUAUAUUUGAAGUUGUUAAUUUCAACCUAAAACUGUAUUAUAUUUAGUGCCAGUUUGUUUUUGUUGUUUCAAGAUUGGUUAGUGGUUAUAGGGUCGUAACCUUUGGAUUUUGGUACAGUUUGCUGUUAUAGUAACCUAAUUAUAUUCCUACCACUCACAGCCUGAAGCAUGACUGCCAUCUGAUUUUUUUUAUUUUAUACACUUAUUCCUAAUUUAUGGUGUUUUCUCUCUGAAGUGAGUAAAAUUGUGAAGUGAGCCUUCAUGUUUUCUAUGUGAUUGGUACCAAUAAAUCCAGCAUACACCUUUACCUAAGGAAGUCAUGUUCAGGAUAGAUAAUUUUAGCUCGCCCUUUAGAAAGAAGCUCCUCAAGAGUACUGCAGCUUCUCAAAUUUAGCUCAAUACAUGCUAUGAUGUUCUCACACUAAUCAGUGUUUACAGGUCAUCGCUAGAUCAUGAUGCUUCAUUCUAAGAGGUGCUCGCGAGCACCUAGGCUUCUCCGCUUCUGAUCAUGGUUGUGGACCUUCCUGUAUGUCAAUAUCCAUUGGUCGUUCCCACAGGCAGUAGUCGUCGAGCCCACUGGCGUGUAUAUAGAGAUCAUCUGCUGCUAAGACCUUCUGGUCGUGAACUGUGUUGUUUAAUUACUUAUGUAACCGGCAUAUUUUGAUAAACAUGACAUAUAAUAUAUUUCGCAAGG